This 230-nucleotide ribosomal RNA is filed under the name uncultured bacterium. RNAcentral describes it as "partial 16S ribosomal RNA". It matches the Rfam family "Bacterial small subunit ribosomal RNA", at positions 562 to 791 of the family's 1533-position model. The record is from RNAcentral.
AAAGGGUCCGCAGGCGGUUAAUUAAGUCUGUUGUCAAAGGUCACAGCUCAACUGUGGAUCGGCAAUGGAAACUGGUUGACUUGAGUGUGGUAGGGGUAGAGGGAAUUCCCGGUGUAGCGGUGAAAUGCGUAGAUAUCGGGAAGAACACCAGUGGCGAAGGCGCUCUACUGGGCCACAACUGACGCUGAGGGACGAAAGCUAGGGGAGCGAAAGGGAUUAGAUACCCCAGU